This 671-nucleotide long non-coding RNA is filed under the name Homo sapiens (human). RNAcentral describes it as "HSALNT0370660". Lineage: Eukaryota; Metazoa; Chordata; Mammalia; Primates; Hominidae. The record is from RNAcentral.
AUGAUUUGAAUCAUGUGGCCAAUGCUUGGUCACCUCUCUGAUAUCCUAUCCUCAGCCCUCGGAAGAUGCAGACGUGAUUAAUGUCACCUGUGACCACCAUGUCUCCAGGCAAGACCCCCCCAAACCCGGCAGACAGAGAAACAAAUUAGAUCCAAAGGGAUCCUCCACUGGGCUCUGGAGUUCAGAGGUUCAAGGUUAAAGUGAAAAGAAGGCUGAGCAUGGAGACAACAGGAGACUUCAAGUCCCACUUGACAGUUCCUGGCUAAGUGAUCCUAAACAAGCCUCUUAACCUCUCUGAGACUCAGUAUGCCCAUCUAUGCAAUGAGAAUUUGUAACAAUAAAAUCAAAAAGCCUCCUCUGUCAGGGUUGUGAAGAUUGCAAGUGAUAGCAAUUUGGAAGUACCUCCCACCAUGCCUGGCAUGUAUGUCUGUGUGUUUGUGUGUAUGUAUAUACAUAAAGCAUUGUGUGUCCUGUGUGUGUGUGUGUAUGUAUGUGUGUGUAUAUAUAUACAUAUACAUAUAUAAAUAAAAAUAUAUUAUAUAUAAAUAUAUAAAUAAUAUAUAAAUAUAUUAUAUAUAAAUAUAUAAAUAAUAUAUAAAUAUAUUAUAUAUAAAUAUAUAAAUAAUAUAUAAAUAUAUUAUAUAUAAAUAUAUAAAUAAUAUAUAAAUAUA